UAUGACAUAUCUCUCAAGACCUUGGUUGUCCAUAGUAGUAAAUAUUGCAUCGAUGCUUAAAAAUAACUUUGUGGUGAGUAAACAUAAAACCUGAAGUUUUAUUCAUCCAUGCUCAUAACAAACCACAUUGAUGGAUGUUUUUGUACUUCCAUUUUCUUUUCUCUAUUUGCAUAUACCACACUUUUUAGUGCAAACUACCGGUGUACAUGGUAGUACAGGUAAGUACUAGAAUACAUCAUUAAUGCUAAAGUACAAUAAGUUGCCACAAAUCAAUAAUAAAAGGGUGGUACCUCUCAUUAUUUCCUCAUGCAUUGUUACAAUUACUCUUGCAUAAAAGCAACAUACUAAACUUUGGUAAGGUACACUUUAAUUUGUUUGAUUGCUUUUUGGUUGAGCAAGAUUAAUUUCAUCUAACCAAUUUUCUAGGUUCAACAAACAAGUUGAAUAUUUAGAAGAUUUGAAGUAUUUUUUUUUGCGCAAGUAAAUUUCUUGCUCCUGAAAUAUUAGGAAUUUUGUUACUAGGUAAUUUGUCUUUUCUAAAAUGUUGCUACACUAGCAAUCACACAUAGGAAACUAUAAGCGUGAAAUGUAGAAUUGCAAAAUAUAAGUGUAAUUUUGGCUUCGCCACUGAGCUCAUAAUAUUAGUGUAACUCAUUGCUUUUAUAUCUUAUAAGCAAAACAAAUAUAUGCACCAACAACAUAUAUCAUACAAGUCUUGGCCACUAAUGCUUUGUCAUUUGCUCCUACAUAUUUAUUAGUCUAUAGUUAUCAAGCUAAAAGAAAACAAAACCAUCCACACAUCUAAGCAAUGUAUUUUAGGAUUAGGGCUGUCAACAUGUUACAACCAAGUGAGCCAAUCAGGUUUUGCUUGAGAUCGAUUUACGAGUGGAAUUUUAGUGGUCCAAAAAAUACACUUAAUUAGCUUGUUUAUAAUAUAAUAAUAAAUUUCAUUGUUCCAUUCAUUUCAAAUUAGUUAUCAUUUUAGUAUUGUCCUAAGGCAAACGUAUCUAUUCUUGACAAUUAAUUUCUAGAAAAUCGUAUAGGUUAACACCAUGUGAAUUAUAUAUUAUGAAAGUAUAUAUCAAGGCUAAUCUACAAACAUAAAUCUUAUGAUAUUAAACUACAUGAAUGUCUAGAAGUUGAUGGCAAAAUAUACAAAUGUUUAAAUUAAAACAAACCUAGAAUAAGAAGUAAUUUGAAACAGAGGGAUUACUUAAUUAAAAUGAAUAAAUAUUUGACUUGAGUGGUUAGUAACUAAGCUGAUUACUGCUUAUAAAAAAUGCAAUGGUUGACUUGAUAUGUAUCAUGGGUCUUGUUGGCAUAUUAAUUAUGAUUGGUUAAUGUAGGUUUUCUUGGGCACAAAAACGCCAACAUGCGUUUUUCUUUCCAGGUAAAUUUACGACAUCACUAUUAUGCAUAAGUAACAAAAAAUCAUCAUUGCUUUAAUAGACCACGUGGCUGGUUAAAUGCACCAAGUCUUGAGCUUUGUGAUAGUUACCUCGUAUUUUGAUUUUAUCUGGAUAUUUAUUUCUAUCCCUUAAUGUUAGUGAUUUAUCAAAAGUAGUGAUUAGUGGGUGUUGGAUGCUCCUUCAUAGCUUAUACCAAUACACGAUUAAUUGUGAAGGAACCAUAACUCUGAUCUUUCUAUUGUUUGCAUCAUUGUUGUCUGCCAUCUUUUCGAUGUGUUCUCAUUGUUACAUUUUUGUACGCAGGUGACCAAAUGGUGUUCUUCAUUUUGAUUAUUAUUGAAUUUUUGGAACUCAUUUGGACCUUCAAACCAUUUCUGACCAUGCCAUAGCAAUUCUCUUCAACCCCAAGUAAUCAAGCUUUCAGAUCAUCGAUAAGUUGGGUGGCAUGUCAUGUUUAUACUGCACAUAUGCUUGUUUGGGUAUUUGGAUGGUAGCUAAUGAAGAUUUAUGCAUAUUUGAGGAGCAAUACUUAUGUAUCCUAUCAUGUAAUUGUAGAUAACAUACUAAUACUUAUCCAACUACAUGUGAGAUGUAUUUAAAUGACCUUUCUCCUUUGGUUUGUAAAAUUUAAAUACUCGAUUUUUCA
RNAcentral lists this long non-coding RNA (2055 nucleotides) under Oryza sativa (Asian cultivated rice). RNAcentral describes it as "long non-coding RNA (OSAT_LNC001721)". Lineage: Eukaryota; Viridiplantae; Streptophyta; Magnoliopsida; Poales; Poaceae. The record is from RNAcentral.